UUGAGUCCAUAAAUGUAUUAUGUAUUACUUUAAACUCUUCGCCAUUAACUUUUGUUUGAGAUCUUUUGGAAAAGUAAUUCCUUUAGGAAAAACAUUGUAAUUUUUGAGGCAAUUCGACUAAAAAUUAAUGGGAAAAAUAAGUAAGUGAUGAUAGGUUAAAUAAAUUAAUGUGAUUAGUGUAUUUAGUCACAAUCGUCCAACUUCUGGUUCAAAGAACAGAUUAUAUCGUUAAUUAUUUUGUGUAUAUAUUUAGAGUACAAUAUAUAUUGAGUAUAUUAGAUAUGGUUUCGAAAAAAUCUUUUGUUGGUUAUUUAUAAUUGUGUAUCAACCAAUUAAAUAUAUAUUUGUUAC
Molecule: long non-coding RNA, 351 nt
Filed under: Brassica napus (rape)
Lineage: Eukaryota; Viridiplantae; Streptophyta; Magnoliopsida; Brassicales; Brassicaceae
Description: long non-coding RNA (BNAP_LNC002797)
Source: RNAcentral